UUUUUUUUUUUUUUUUNUUUUAUCCAGAAUCUUCUAAUAUUUCUUUCUUCUGUGAGGCUUAUUGUUCACAGGUUCUUAGGUUCUCCUUAAGGCUCAUCCCUAAUACUCUAAGCAUUACCUAGCCCAGCUAGGUAGGGCCAAACCAAUUAGGUUUGCCUAUAAUCAGAGAGAACUUUCCCAUGAAAGCACUGGAACCAUUCCAGGGACAAUGCCUGCUGGUGCUGCUUAGGUGACAUGGCUGUUCCUAUAAUGGUCAGCGUGGCUGGAGACAGAGGUGGGAGAUGGAGACAGAGGUGGGAAAUGGAGACAGAAGUAAGCAAUGGGUCAAGUAUGGGUCAGCUGCCCAAUCCUGGAAGUAGAAAGCAGUGCUUAACCCCAGCUAAAUUUUGAGGACUAGGAAUGGAAGAGUGGUAGGUUUCCAAAGAUGCUUGACAGACAGAAAAUCCAAGGCCACGAGUGUUUCACCAGCCUCAUUUCUUACACACUGAGACCCAGCUAUGCUUCUCUUGUUUUUGUUUUUCAGAUGUGUCACAUAAAAGAUAUAAAGGCUGCCCCUCUCAUGCCUUGACCUCAUCCCUAUCUAUAUAAAUGCUCCUAGAACUUCCCAGAGCUGGUUCAGGUAAACACCCUUCUCAGAUAUGACUCUAUCUAAUUAUUGGUCACUCCUCCUUCCAGCAGCCUUGGGGACCUAUAAACUCUCUUACUGGAAAAUGAAACGCUACUUCCAGCAGCAGAGAGAGGCAAAAGGUCUUUGGUUCAAGUGCAUUCUCAGUUCAUUGAAGAAAAAAUAAGGAAAAUUACAAGCAACUUUCUUUGUGAAGGUUUUGUUUUCAUCUGUGGGUGUUUAACAAGUGAAGUAUCACUUAUGCAAGACCAGUUUCUAUUCACCAAUCAUAUUGCCUGUUAUACUGGGUCAGAAAUAUUUUAGGGGAUGAGAAUGCCAUGUUGAUUUACUACAUCAUGCAUGGAAACUUGGAAAAAUAAAGCUAAUUAUUCCCCCUCCAAACCAGAAGAAAUAGGGAAGGAUAUAAAUCUCUAUAAAGAAGCUCUUCCUCCAAAAAGUUACCCAGAGUCAUGCAAAGCUACCUCUUGCAGAGGGCAAGUACAUAGCUAUUUUGCAUAUUGGAAAGCUCUUGCAUUUGAUUCCUAAUUCCCUCCACUUAGUAGCUUAUGUUCCUUAACCACUUGGAGCCCUUUUUCCUAUGUCUAAAAUAUGGGUAAUGAUACCUGCAUUGCAAUAUCAUUGAAAAGAUUAGGGAGAAUGAACUUAAAGUACCUCUUACCACUACAUCUACACGAAUUACAGUACAACUUCCUGAUUCCAUAGGUCAACCCUGAAAUUCUAGUGGUUUAGUACCAGUAGAGCUUAGUUUUUGCUCAAGUCAAGUACAAUGUCUUUAAACACAAUGAUUCAGGGUUCAGACUCUUUCCAUCUUGUGAGACCUUCAUCCUUGGAGCCUUACAGUCCUGUGUUUACAGCCACAGGAUGGGAAAGAGCGAGGCUUUAUGAGUAGAGCCUGGAGGUGGACAUCUCCCUCCUCACACCUGCACCCAGUCACAUGGCUCCAUCUAACCGACAGUGCAGGUGAGACAGGUAAUCUAGUUGUGUGCCCCAUGUGAACAGAAAAUAGAACUGAGAAGAGCUGCCCAUCUUGCCCCCUGGUCCCUAACACAGAGAAGAUGUUUGACAGGAUAGAUGUGUUCUAGUUCUGUACAAACAUACACCCACAGUGGAUUUCAGAUCAAGGGCUUUCAAAAUUUCAAGAGAGAACAGAUCCCUACUCUUACCCCGACUACUUCCUGCAUCCUACUAAAAUGAGGCCCCAAUAUCAUUGGGGAUUAGGAAGUUCUUUGGUAGGAAAACAGGGCCAUAUAUCCUAGCCUUUAAGAGAACCUACUGCUAUAAUACCCAUCACAUCUACUUGGAAAACCCCUAAAUAUUUUUACAACUCGGCUCUAAGUACAGUUCUUCAGUCAAGUCAAAUCUGACUGAUUCUGCCAUCCUUCAGUGAGUUAUUAAGCCCCUACACGUACAGUAGUAGUGUCUUUCUUACUUCUGGUGCAGUGCUGUUACCCUAUUAUAGGGCUUCUAAAUCUCAGUCCUAUUGACAUUUUGGAUUGGAUAAUUCUUUGUUGUGGAAGAUGGCCUUGUGAAUUGUAGAAUGUUUAGCAGCAUCCCUGGCCUCGGUCCAGUAGAUGCUGUUAGUAAUUCCAGCUUCCCCCAGUCAUGAGAAUCAUGAGUGUGUCCAGACAUUGCCAAACAUCUCCUGCAGGGACAAAAUCAACCCCUUGUAAGGAUCAUUAUCUCUUAUUACAAUUAUCUCACCAAUCUAGAGAGGCCAUGCCUGACAACCUGUCUAGACUGGCCUCCGUCCUGAAUCAAGUCACUUCUCUGCCACACUGCACUGUUAGAUUUCCUUCACAAAACUUAUAACCAGAUAAAAAUUAGCUGUUUCCUCUGUUUACCUGUAUACUGUUUUCCCAGGCCCUGGAAUGUAAGCCCCAUAGGUCAGGGGCUUCUUCUAUGUAACUUGCUGCUGUGUCCCAAGGGCUUAGAGACAUUUCUCAUACAUAUCAGGUGCUCUUUAAAAAAAAAGCCUUUGGGGAGUUCCCAUUAUGGUGCAGUGGUUAAUGAAUUUGACUAGGAACCAUGAGGUUGCAGAUCUGAUCUUAAAACUUCUGUUCUUACUCUGACGAACUGUCUGACCUUGGAAACCUCAGAGCAGGGAUCAAUUUUUCUCAACUCUAAAAUGGGAAUGUUAAUAAAUCCAUGACAAGUUGUUGAGUGCUAUAAGCCAAAUGACGUAACAAAUAUAAAGCUGUCUCGACCUCAACAAAUGCUAUAUUAUUUCCUUCAGUUAAAGAUAUGAGACUCUGUGCCUGUUGGCCUCUGGAAUAUUUACUAUCCUCUGAACCUAAAAUCAUGUUUUGGUAACAAUCUCCUCUGCAUUUAUCAAUAGGGAGUCUAAUAAUGACAACAAGCACCGUAAAGCCCUUGUAAUAAGAGGAAUACAAAGAAGCAAACUGGAGGCACAAAGCUACCUUUCCCUGGCUUAAUUCUACUUAUUUUAGGAUAAUUUAUAAUCACACAAGACGAAGGCUCAUUUGUCCAUGACACUGCUUCCAUAGAUGUGUCACCAGAAUGCCUGCCUUGUUUCUAUACUUGAUGACCAAAGGUUAAUCUGGGGAUCUCUAUUUCCCUAAAUUUUCAAGACUCAUCUCUUUGCAAUAAAUCGCCCUUUAAAAAUACAUUUAACAAUCUGAACUUCACAUAUGGCUAGUGAUGUUUUUAAAAGACUGAUAGUUCUUUAAACAAUAGUCAAGGGAAGUAAGCAUUAGACACAACUGAAUACUUUGUCAUUAAUUCUUAAAAAGAUUACUAUUCAAUACAACAUAAAUUUGCUACUUAAAUUUUAAUACAACACUUUUUACCAAUUUACUCUAAAUCAUUAUGUCAGGGCUAUUGCUUCUGUUUUGACUCUACCCAGCCAUUUUUUUUUAAGGGCUCUGUAGAUUGUCUAAAUAGAUUCUCAGAGCUGAGGUGUGUGUGUGUGUGUGUGUGUGUUCAGAUGCUCUUACCAAGACUUUUCUUAAAAAAUUAUUUAAAAAAAUUCUUGUCUUUUCUGAUCAUUUGCUUUCAUUUGAUUCUUGGCUUCACCAACUUGGCUAGACAGCAAACCUAGCUUUGCUGUCUAGGCUUCCCGAUUUGUUCUGUCCUGUCUCUCUCAUUAUCAACCAGAAAUAGGAAUUUGAUUAGACCCUGUUGGCUGAGAAUUCUUGGAGGGUUAGGACCACAUCUUUUUUUACUUUAUAUCCCUAGUACAUGAGCAGCAUUCAGUAUAUGGUUAGCACUCAAUAAAUACUUGACAAAUGAAUGGAUGGAUGGAUGAAUAAGGGAAUCUCCAAUUGGAAUAUAAAUCACCAUGACUUGUUCUUCUAUAUUAGAAACAUUUUUAUAUGACCAUCUAUCUUUUCAUAUAAAUUUUGUAUCUCUUAUAAUUUAUGGGUCUAGAAUGAAAUAAAAAUGUUAAAUGAAAUAACUUCAUUAUCAAUGAGUUUAAUGAUGACAUCAAUUAUUAACUUGUCUAGGACACAGGGUUAGAUGUACAGAAUCAUCAGGUUAUUCCAUCUCUAUCCAAAGACCAGUGUCUAGUCUAAACAAAACAUAUUCUAAAUAACAUGGAAACCAUCAAAUAAGCAAAAAUAGCAGAAUGGUUUUGUAAAUGUAAAGAUGAAAUAUUUUCACUAUAGGAGGUGGUAUAGCAGGGGAUUAUGGUUUCUAGAGCCAGACCAUUUGUGUUUGACCCCUGGCUAUGCUCACUGGCUAGCUAUAUGAUACUGGACAAAUUAUCUAACCUGUCUGGGCUCUAUCUGCCAAAUGAGAAAAAAACUAUGACCUGUUCCAUUGGUUUCGUUUCAUCUUUGUGAGAAUUAAGUGAGUUGCUGCACAUGAACUCUUAGAACAAAGAUUGGCACAUAGAAAGAAUUCAGUAAGUAUUGGUUGUUUAUGUUAUUAUUACUAUUAUAAGAUGUUAUAACAAACCUGAGAGUUAAAGAGCUAAAAGUACUUUAAAGCAAAUAAUUGUUCCCUAAGCUAGGUUCUACUCAUUCCUUCUUAAAAACAGCCUAGAGACUCUACCUAGUUCAGUCUAUUGGAAAUACCAUGAAGCCAGAGGGGCAUGCCAGAUCCCUAUAAUUCUGGUCACCUUUAUUUACUUUUUAUAUCUCCCUUGGCUACAAAUUACUUCCCAGACAUAGAUACAGUUUUGUCUUCAGACUCUAACAGGGCAGCUUCUAAUCUAAGGGUCUUAUUUUUUAAAACAGAAGUCCAGUCACUCUCACCUCAAAAUACUUCCACAUCAUGCCAUAACCAUAGUUGGUACUUAGAGAUUUCUAAAUAUCAUACAGUCCCCUUAUAGCUCCAUGGGAUUUGAAAAUACUACUCCUAAUAUGUAGGGAUUUGAAAGUACUGCUCCUGCUGUGCAGAAUAUACUCCAUGUUGGUUAUAUGUCAUCCUGACUUGGCUAAGGAAUGCCCAGACAGCCGGUAAAACAUUACUUCCGGGUAUAUCUAUGGGAGUGUUUCCAGAAGAGGUGGCAUUUGGAUAGGUGGACCAAGUAAAGAUCAUCCUCACCAGUGCAUGCCAGCUCCUCAAACACUUAGAGGGCUGGAGAGAACAAAAGUGGAGAAAUGGAGAAUUAGCUCUUGUUGCAUGAGCUGGGACAUCAUUUUGUGCUGCCAUUAUGCAUUAGCACUCCUGAUUAUUGGAUAGAACUAUACCACCAGCUUUCCUGGGUCUAUAUCUUGCUUAAGACAAAUAGCAGGAUUUCUUGGCUUCCAUGACAGCAAAAACCACUUCCUAUAGUAAAUCUCCUUUUACAUAUAUCUCUACAUAUUCUAUUGAUGCAGAUUUCUGGCUUGCCCGGGCUGACACACUCCCUAAUCUUUUUCAUUUAGCCACAGGUGUUACUUUUUCCAGGAUGUUUCCUCUGACAAACCAGGUAUAACCUGGGUACCCUUCCUGCCCAUUUCUAGAACCCUGUCUUUAACAGCAGAGCUUACUGAAUUGGGGUCGCAGUUGUCUCUAAUCUGUUUCUCUUUCUCACUAGAUGGUGAGGACUCUGAUGAAACCAUCUGGGUUAACUAUAUCAAGUUUCUGUCACAAUGCAUAUUACCUACUAGGACAUAAUAAUUAUUUGUUUAAAAAACUCAUUUAUUGUAAGGAGAAUAAGUCAAGGGGACUAGAAACAGAGAAUACCAACUAUCAGAAAAAAAAAAUACAAGUUAGGUAUUUCUCCUUCUGGUUCUAUAUAAUAUUCUCUCUCUCUUCCUUCCUUCCUUCCUUUUUUUUCUUGGGCCACAUCCUUGGCAUAUGGAAGUUCCCAGGAUAGGGGUCAAAUGGGAGCUACAGCUGCCAGCCUACACCACAGCCACAGCAAUAUGGGAUCCUAGCCACAUCCGCAACCUACAUCACAGCUCAUGGCAACACCGGAUCUCUGACCCACUGAGCAAGGCCAGGAAUAGAACCCACAUCUUCAUGGAUACCUGUUGGAUUCAUUUCUUCUGUGCCACAACAGGAAUUCCAUGAUCUAUAUAGUUUUCAAAUACAGAAAACCACACAUGCAAUCCUUAUGUGGUCCUGUGUCAUGGUAUGGGGUUCAACAGAUUAAAUUCCUUCCCCAUCAUAAGAUACUCCCUGUGGGUCUUGCCAAGCUUAUUAUCCCUCUAAUUUCUCCUAAGAACACAAGCCCACCAUCUUCUUGUCUUCUCACCUAUAAUGGAAACACCUCUCUUGGGAAUCAAAGGCAUCCUA
RNAcentral lists this long non-coding RNA (6313 nucleotides) under Sus scrofa (pig). RNAcentral's name for it is "lncRNA (ENSSSCG00055017651.1)". Lineage: Eukaryota; Metazoa; Chordata; Mammalia; Artiodactyla; Suidae. The record is from RNAcentral.